RNAcentral lists this ribosomal RNA (301 nucleotides) under uncultured bacterium. Its description in RNAcentral is "partial 16S ribosomal RNA". It matches the Rfam family "Bacterial small subunit ribosomal RNA", at positions 509 to 807 of the family's 1533-position model. The record is from RNAcentral.
CAGUCGCCGCGGUAAUACAGAGGGUGCAAGCGUUAAUCGGAAUUACUGGGCGUAAAGCGCGCGUAGGUGGUUCGCCAAGUUGGAUGUGAAAUCCCCGGGCUCAACCUGGGAACUGCAUCCAAAACUGGCGAGCUAGAGUAUGGUAGAGGGUGGUGGAAUUUCCUGUGUAGCGGUGAAAUGCGUAGAUAUAGGAAGGAACAUCAGUGGCGAAGGCGACCACCUGGACUGAUACUGACACUGAGGUGCGAAAGCGUGGGGAGCAAACAGGAUUAGAUACCCCCGUAGUCCCUGUCUCUUAUAC